AGAGUUUGAUCCUGGCUCAGAACGAACGCUGGCGGCAGGCCUAACACAUGCAAGUCGAGCGCGCCUCUCAGCUUCGGUUGAGUUGGUUAGCGGCGGACGGGUGAGUAACGCGUGGGAACGUGCCCUUAGGUACGGAACAACAGUUGGAAACGACUGCUAAUACCGUAUGAUGUCUCUGGUUUCGGCCGGGGACCAAAGAUUUAUCGCCUAGGGAUCGGCCCGCGUUGGAUUAGGUAGUUGGUGGGGUAACGGCCUACCAAGCCUACGAUCCAUAGCUGGUUUGAGAGGAUGAUCAGCCACACUGGGACUGAGACACGGCCCAGACUCCUACGGGAGGCAGCAGUGGGGAAUCUUGGACAAUGGGGGCAACCCUGAUCCAGCCAUGCCGCGUGAGCGAUGAAGGCCUUAGGGUUGUAAAGCUCUUUCACCGGUGAAGAUAAUGACGGUAGCCGGAGAAGAAGCCCCGGCUAACUCCGUGCCAGCAGCCGCGGUAAUACGGAGGGGGCUAGCGUUGUUCGGAAUUACUGGGCGUAAAGCGCGCGUAGGCGGAUUGUUAAGUCGGGGGUGAAAUCCCGGGGCUCAACCCCGGAACUGCCUCCGAUACUGACAGUCUUGAGGUCGAGAGAGGUGAGUGGAAUUCCGAGUGUAGAGGUGAAAUUCGUAGAUAUUCGGAGGAACACCAGUGGCGAAGGCGGCUCA
This 699-nucleotide ribosomal RNA is filed under the name uncultured bacterium. Its description in RNAcentral is "bacterial SSU rRNA". It matches the Rfam family "Bacterial small subunit ribosomal RNA", at positions 8 to 728 of the family's 1533-position model. The record is from RNAcentral.